Molecule: ribosomal RNA, 482 nt
Filed under: uncultured bacterium
Lineage: Bacteria
Description: partial 16S ribosomal RNA
Rfam family: Bacterial small subunit ribosomal RNA
Source: RNAcentral
AUUGAACGGUGACGGCAUGCCUUACACAUGCAAGUCGAACGGUAACGGGCCUUCGGGUGCCGACGAGUGGCGCACGGGUGAGUAAUACAUCGGAACGUGCCCGAUCGUGGGGGAUAACGAGGCGAAAGCUUUGCUAAUACCGCAUACGAUCUACGGAUGAAAGCAGGGGACCGCAAGGCCUUGCGCGGACGGAGCGGCCGAUGGCAGAUUAGGUAGUUGGUGGGAUAAAAGCUUACCAAGCCGACGAUCUGUAGCUGGUCUGAGAGGAUGAUCAGCCACACUGGGACUGAGACACGGCCCAGACUCCUACGGGAGGCAGCAGUGGGGAAUUUUGGACAAUGGGCGCAAGCCUGAUCCAGCCAUGCCGCGUGCAGGAUGAAGGCCUUCGGGUUGUAAACUGCUUUUGUACGGAACGAAAAGCCUUCUUUUAAUACAGGAGGGUCAUGACGGUACCGUAAGAAUAAGCACCGGCUAACUACGUG